Molecule: non-coding RNA, 488 nt
Organism: Peromyscus leucopus (white-footed mouse)
Lineage: Eukaryota; Metazoa; Chordata; Mammalia; Rodentia; Cricetidae
Source: the annotation of a RefSeq genome assembly
UUUCUUCAGAAGGUGUUGACUCCAUGUGCAGAAGUCAUUCUCAGUGAAGAUAUAGCAUCAACAUGCGGGUCCUUGGUGAGAUCCUGGGGCUGUUGCUGCUCUGUUUUUCAGGUGUGAGAUGUGAUAUCCAGAUGACCCAGUCUCCACCUACUCUGUCUGCAUCUCUUGGAGACAGAAUCACCAUCACUUGCCAUGCCAGCCAGAACAUUAACAGUUGGUUAGCCUGGUACCAGCAGAAACCAGGGAAUGCUCCUAAACCCUUAAUCUAUAAGACAUCCAACUUGCACACAGGAGUCCCAUCGAGGUUCAGUGGCAGUGGGUCUGGGACAGAUUAUUCUCUCACAAUCAGCAACCUGCAGCCUGAAGACAUUGCCACUUAUUAUUGUCAACAGGGUCAAAGUAACCCUCUCACAGUGAUACAAGUCAUAACACAAACCUCCCAGGAGUGCAGUGAAGUAAGACUGAGCUGCCUCAGCUGUUCCUCUUAG